CCGUGCGAUCCAACCUCUCUUUUGUAUCCGCCAUAGCUAUCUCAAGUUUAGCUAACCGAGCUUCAAAACUAGCAAGAUAGUCACGAGAUUUACCUCUCUUGUGUGGUGGUGGGACGGUGCGCUCCUCCUCGCGACCCUUGCAAACUUGCUCCUCACUGCCGCUAGCCAUGUCGUGAAUAUGCCCAGCUAACCCACGAACCCUUUCGUAGCGUUGCUCUGAUACCAACUGUCACGGACCGGAUAACUCCCUAGCUAUCUUCCGUGCGGCCUUAGUCACAANNNN
This 283-nucleotide long non-coding RNA is filed under the name Nicotiana benthamiana. Its description in RNAcentral is "long non-coding RNA (NBEN_LNC038417)". The record is from RNAcentral. Lineage: Eukaryota; Viridiplantae; Streptophyta; Magnoliopsida; Solanales; Solanaceae.